This is a long non-coding RNA of Salvelinus sp. IW2-2015, 676 nucleotides long. RefSeq lists it as uncharacterized. The record is from RefSeq and is a predicted model, not a curated record. Lineage: Eukaryota; Metazoa; Chordata; Actinopteri; Salmoniformes; Salmonidae.
AAAUAAAACGGUGUGUCUAAUAUAUGAAACAACUUCCUCAUAGCUAUUCAAAUGGGUUCAAGAAGAGGCUGCCUGACCUUUUGGCUCAAUUCACUUGUGCCACAAAUGAUUUCUUUGAAAACCUGGGCAUUGUUCAAAAGGCUGGCAAAACGCCUUCAAAACGCCUCUUCCACAAAGAAAAGAGGCAACCACUUCCUCGUGCCUCACAAAGAUUGUCAGACGGACUCGCUGAACUGAAUCUUGUCACACCAGAGCACAGUCUGUGUUCUGUCAUCUGAAACAAAAUAAUGCUGUUCCUAUUAUUUUGUGGUGGAUGUUUUGCAUUGUCUGCAGGGCAAACCUUUGCUCCAACACCUUCAAUGGGACAAGUGAACAGCACAAUACAGGUAACAACACCUCCAGCUCCUUCAACUCCAUAUGUGGACCCACCUUUUGGUACUGAAGCAGCAACAAGUGGAUUUGCAAUUCUUCGAACAGCUGUCACUUCUUAUCAGGAGAUAAAUGAGACUACAGUUGAUCCAGUCUUGAGUCAGCUCUAUGACAUCAUUGGUGCGCAGCAACCUGAUCUGGACUUUCAGCUGACUGUGAAAACUGUCCAGAAGGUUUGAUGGAUUAUGAUUCAAUGCAUAACAGCGUUCCCAGUUGUCUUGAAAGCACCAUAAAUCCAGAGAAUGCC